AUGUUUUUAUUUUCUGUAGAGACAGGUUCUCACUACGUUGCCCAGGCCAGUCUUGAACUCCAGGAUUCAAGCAAUCCUCUGGCCUCAGUCUCCCAAAGUGCUGGGAUUACAGGCAUGAGCCACCACACCCGGCCAAGGCUAAGUUCUUGAAAGCACCACUGAGCCACUAUCUCAAACCAGGAGCUUUUAAUUUCCAAACUUCCUAACAGGGAGGUAAAUUACUUUUCUGUAUGGCUUGUGUCAGUGUAGUUGGGUAUUCUACUGCUUCCAGUUGAAAGCAUCCUAAUUCAGAUCUCA
This 297-nucleotide long non-coding RNA is filed under the name Pan troglodytes (chimpanzee). RNAcentral's name for it is "long non-coding RNA NONPTRT011538". Lineage: Eukaryota; Metazoa; Chordata; Mammalia; Primates; Hominidae. The record is from RNAcentral.